Long non-coding RNA from Camelina sativa (false flax), 835 nucleotides. RefSeq lists it as uncharacterized. Lineage: Eukaryota; Viridiplantae; Streptophyta; Magnoliopsida; Brassicales; Brassicaceae. The record is from RefSeq and is a predicted model, not a curated record.
CAGCAACCGCUGCUUUAACCAUUCUCUCGUUCUUUUAGUUACAAAACAACAACAACUCUCCCUCUUUCCCUCUUUCCCUCAACGCAAAGGCCACGAAAUCAAUUACUUGUUGGGGUUGGGUUGGGUUGGGUCGGGUCGGGUAAACGGGCAUCCAAAUUUUUUAAGGGUCCCGCCAUGGGCCCAACCAAUUCGGUUUGCGGCUUUUCCUAAUCUUAUCUCCUUCGUAACUCCAGCGGGUAAAAACGUUACGGACUGACUCAGUGAGUUUGUGAUCGAGUCAAAGACGAGCAGGCCUGGGUAAGAGAGAUCUCCCAGAGGGCUUGCAUCAAGCUAGUCCUCCACUCCAAGUUCCUUCUCUUGAAUCCUCUGGAGAUCUCUCUCGUCAUGAUUUUGAAGGCAGGGAAGUAACUUCCAGCAGCUGUUAGUGUCCCUUAGGAUUUCAAUUAGAAAAGAUGGAAACUUUUAGCCUUGUUUUGCUUGACUUUGAAACAGUACACUGAUGACUUCAGAUUUGCUUGGAGAAUGAUCAGAGCAAGAUGGAGGCAGCAAGCUACUUUUAAAGGUGUCAUCAGGGAGUAUUUUUUAUCAGAUUUGCAUUUCAUCAGAGAAAAUAGAUGGACCUCGCAGAUUUUGAUGAUCAUCCCACAAUGUCACCAAGGACUGGCUGAACCCUGCAUUCCUCAGCUGUAGAACUGCCAGGCGAUGUACCUAUGCUCUUCAGUCUUCAUCAUAAUCAUCCACGGUCUAAGAAAGUCCAGAGAAAAUAUAUGUUCAACUGCAGCAAGGUUUUAGAACACCGGGCAGCCCUUAACUACGAUCCCUUUCGCUGUCGGGC